Molecule: ribosomal RNA, 530 nt
Filed under: uncultured eukaryote
Lineage: Eukaryota
Description: SSU rRNA
Rfam family: Eukaryotic small subunit ribosomal RNA
Source: RNAcentral
UAGUCAUAUGCUUGUCUCAAAGAUUAAGCCAUGCAUGUCUAAGUACAAGCCUCACUAAGGUGAAACCGCGAAUGGCUCAUUAAAUCACACCUAAUCUACUGGAUAGUUAACAGUUACUUGGAUAACUGCGGUAAUUCUGGAGCUAAUACAUGCACAAAGCCCCGAACUUACGUGAGGGGCGCUUUUAUUAGAUCAAAACCAAACGGCUUCGGCUGUAUCCUUGGUGACUCUGAAUAACUUUGGGCUGAUCGCAUGGCCUAGCGCCGGCGACAUAUCCUUCGAAGGUGUGCCCUAUCAACUGUCGACUGUGGCAUAGACGCCCACAGUGGUUUUGACGGGUAACGGGGAAUCAGGGUUCGAUUCCGGAGGGGGAGCCUUAAAAACGGCUACCACAUCUAAGGAAGGCAGCAGGCACGCAAAUUACCCAAUGACCGAAGGUCGAGGUAGUGACAAAAAAUAACGAUACGGGACUCAUCUGAGGCCCCGUAAUCGGAAUGAGUACACUUUAAAACCGUCCCCGAGGAUCUAUU